GAUAAACGCUGGCGGCGCACAUAAGACAUGCAAGUCGAACGGACUUAACUCAUUCUUUUAGAUUGAGAGCGGUUAGUGGCGAACGGGUGAGUAACGCGUGAGCAACCUGCCCUUCAGAGGGGGACAACAGUUGGAAACGACUGCUAAUACCGCAUAACGCAUUCGAGGGGCAUCCCUUGAAUGCCAAAGAUUUAUCGCUGAAAGAUGGGCUCGCGUCUGAUUAGCUAGUUGGUGGGGUAACGGCCCACCAAGGCGGCGAUCAGUAGCCGGACUGAGAGGUUGAACGGCCACAUUGGGACUGAGAUACGGCCCAG
RNAcentral lists this ribosomal RNA (314 nucleotides) under uncultured bacterium. RNAcentral describes it as "bacterial SSU rRNA". It matches the Rfam family "Bacterial small subunit ribosomal RNA", at positions 28 to 334 of the family's 1533-position model. The record is from RNAcentral.